Molecule: ribosomal RNA, 253 nt
Filed under: uncultured bacterium
Lineage: Bacteria
Also listed under: 1 other name
Description: partial 16S ribosomal RNA
Rfam family: Bacterial small subunit ribosomal RNA
Source: RNAcentral
UACGGAGGGAGCAAGCGUUACUCGGAAUUAUUGGGCGUAAAGGGCGCGUAGGCGAUUCGGUAAGUCUCGUGUGAAAUCCCAGUGCUUAACGCUGGAAGAGCACGGGAAACUGCUGAAUUUGAGUUCCGGAGAGGAAGGCAGAAUUCCCGGUGUAGCGGUGAAAUGCGUAGAUAUCGGGAGGAAUACCAGUGGCGAAGGCGGCCUUCUGGACGGAUACUGACGCUGAGGCGCGAAAGCUAGGGGAGCAAACGGG